AUAUAUAUAGAUGUUUGUUUUUUUUUCUUUCAAAUAUAAUGCAUUUAUAGCGGAAAAGGUAAACCUCAGGAAAAUCGGUAGGCACGUCGUCGAUUGGCCAACCUUCGACAAAGUGUAUGGACUAAACAUAGAUAUGAAGAGGCGAUACCCGAGCGCGCUAAGACAUGCCUUAUGGGGCGGCCAUCUUGGAAAGGUCGAGUUCCCUUCGAACGCAACGAAUCAACAUUGAAAUGAAGUCGUCAUUUGCUCAAUUCUCAACCCAUUUUCAUGGGAAUUCCCUCUUUGUCAACUCCGAAGCGUGUGUACUAUCAAUACGGAAUAUUUUUUUAAUAAGUCAAUUUAUUUUUACCUGUGAAAGGUUAUUCCCAGUUCAAAAGGGAAUACAAUUCAUAUUUGACACACAUCCAGGGAACGUGAGCAUACUGUGACAAAGAGAGAGAUUGCGUGGUUUCCGAAGACGAACAACAUGGCGGCGCCCCAUGCAUAGACUUGCAAAGACAAAAUUUCUCUUUUCACAAGUCGUUUUCCUUUUCCUUGGCUAGCUCGUAGAGAGCUACUUGCGGUCCGCGCAGCUACGCCAACUCGUCUGUCGUGGAGGAUCCGAGCCCUUGCGUCGAACUCCCGCUGAAGACGAAAAAAGCUGAUUCUUCCACUUCAACUGAGGAUUUACUUGAUUGGACAGAAACACGGACGAGUCUCCUCCUCUCAAUCGACAAAAAAUUGUCAAUUACACUUGACUUGUUCGCCAAGAGAUCGCCGAACUUCAGAAAGAGCUUGGAAUUCACACAACAACAGGUCAAGGAGCUAAGAUUAGAUAACACUGCGCUUCGAUCAAACAUGAUGUCAGUGCCAGCGGAACUACAAACUCUUAAAACUGGAAAUAUAAAAUCAUGAAAGAAACCACGCUGGACAUUCAAUCAAGAAGCGUGCGCGACAAUCACAUUUUCUCGGGCAUUCUAGAAAAUGCUCCGGAAGACUCCGAGGUGCAGAUUAAAAAGUUUAUGAUGUCCUCGCUCAAGAUACAGCAAGUUACAGUCGACAAGAUUACUUUUCACAAUGUUCACCGAUUGGGAGGGCCUCACCCAGGAAACCGACCACGUCCCAUUAUUGCAAAGUUUGAACACUUUCAGCAAAAGGUUUUUGUAAAAUCCAAAGGUCGGGAGCUCAAAGGGACUUCGUUUGGAAUGAACGACCAGUUCCCCAAGGAAAUUAAUGAGAGGCGUAGAAAUUUGUACCCGUUGAUGAAGGAUGUCCGUGACAAAGGCAAACGAGCGUGGUUAGUUGUCAACGGCCAACUGUUUCGUGAUGCCAACGUGACGCCCUGGCUCUUCUAGAUAGCAUCUCUAUCACCCACUCUAAAUAACAUUUGUCAACGCAAUACCAAAAAAUUCCUGAAAACUGUCAAAAAAACAACAACAAAGAAUGCAUAGUACCAAAUCUAUUUAAAAUUAUCAUACACGCACCCAUUAUAUGUCACACUUAACUUUUGUGUCAUGGAAUGUCAAUGGCAUUCGAUCGCAGUCAAAGAGAAUUAAGAUUAUUAUUAUACCGCUAAACUUAAAACAGACCUCCUCCUAUUACAAGAAACGCACCUGACUGCGUCAGAAGAAAAGUGCCUCAUUUGCUCUAAUUUCACUCAGGCUAUCUCGGCCUUUUAUAACUGUAGACGAAGAGGAGUCUCAAUACUAGUCCAUUCAAGAUUACUUUUUACAAUAAGUAGUACAGUAGCAGAUCCAGAAGGCCGAUACAUAAUUAUACAGGCUACAAUGUUUAACAUGCUUUACACAAUUGUCAAUGUAUACGCUCCUAAUAAAGAUGAUCCAGCCUUUUUUCACAUGCUCUUUUCACACUUGUUAAACAUGUCAGCCAAUUCUACAAUUAUCAUGGGAGGUGAUUUUAACCUUAUGCUAAAUCUCUUAAUAGAUCGCUCAAAUCUCAAAAAUAGCAAUCAGCCAAAAUGCCCCAAUAUACUAGAGCAGUAUAUGGACGACUUUGGUCUCGUUGACAUAUGGAAGCUGAAAAAACUGUAGCGGACAUGCUCCCCGCAAACUGAGGUGACACAGUGAAUCCCCACGGUGUGAUAAACCGCAUUCUUCCAAGCGGCCCUGCUGUGAGACUGCUCCAAGGAGACACCUCGUGGACCCUAGACUAAUUAACAUCUACCCUCGAAGUCUGAACUCCCAAGCAUCAAAGGCCCCAGAUGGUCCCACCGACAAGCCGACACCCGCUGGCGUCGAGAGGAACUGCAAAGUUGACCCGGAGGGGACUCUCAUUUGAUGUUUAACGAAGGAUAAAUGUCUGUUUUGAUAUUUCACCAACUCUGCAGAAAUGUUCCAAAUGUAUGCCUUGAUGUCUGUGUCAGUGUGUCAACUUUACAAGUGCUAUUGUGAGAUUUUGAGAAUUGUUUGUCUUGAUUUGACUCCAAGCAGCAUGAAAUGUGAUUUGAACCAUAAGCAGUUGAUUUGCCAAAACUAAAGUAUAAACAGUCACUCCGAUAUGCUCGACCUCUGAGUAAAGAGAGUACCAAGUUGAGGUUAUGUUAUAUUAAUAUAUGAUUUUAAACUCAUUUUAUCAAAUGUGUAGACAAGAUUAAAGCCGAUGGGUGUGGUCUUCUCUUCUUUCGCCCCUGGGGUACUUAACCCUGACUCUCGUGUUUUUUUCUCUCCUCUGACUUCUUAGCUCUUGUCUUCCUGGCAUGUGCAAGGCACGCGGGCUUGGCUUCGGCCACCCCUCCUUCCUGCCUUUUCUUUGUUCGGGCACACGGACGCAGCUUCUCAGCCUAUCCAUGGACCACCGCGAGGCGAUCAGGGCAACUGCUACUAAGGUACCAGGUACGCUUCCAGUCAAGCGUGAUCGCUCUGAAAUUGCCAGCGAGCCACAAAAAGGCAGGAAGAGAGAGAGUCAUACUCUCCCAACAAGGCGAUACGAACAACAAAUUUUCUUCUUCCGCAUCUUUCGUUAAAUGUUUGUGCAUCUUUUUCUUCUGCAACCAACCCUGUCUCUGUGCUUCUGAGACACGCCCAGGGAGAGACCACUCCCAGAGGCCAGUUCAUUUACAUUCGUGAGUAGACACGGCAAGGGAUUGCCAGACUGUACAAUAUGAGUGCCUAAUAAUUUUGGGGAAAUCACUAGCUUCAGACAAAAUCUCAACUCUCUCUCUCUCUCUCUCUCUCUCUCUCCCUCCCUCCCGGAAUGGACGUGUUAAACGCUCGCGUUUUCCACUUUAGUCUAACACAUGAUGUUCUAUUUCCCUUUUCGUACGCCUAUUUUCCUUCCUUUUACCAUUAUUAGUGUUAUUUUCUUUCUUUAGUUGGUCCCCUUUGUGUGUUUCCCUUUAGAGCUCUUGGAGAUUUCAUUAAAUAUAUUAUAAAAUUCCA
This is a long non-coding RNA of Phyllopteryx taeniolatus (common seadragon), 3377 nucleotides long. RefSeq lists it as uncharacterized. The transcript is spliced from 2 exons. The record is from RefSeq and is a predicted model, not a curated record. Lineage: Eukaryota; Metazoa; Chordata; Actinopteri; Syngnathiformes; Syngnathidae.